GGGCCCGUGGCGCAGACUGGAUAGCGCGUCGGCCUCCUAAGUCGAUGGUCGAGGGUUCAAAUCCCUCCGGGCCCGCCA
RNAcentral lists this transfer RNA (78 nucleotides) under Thermoproteota archaeon. RNAcentral's name for it is "tRNA-Arg". It matches the Rfam family "tRNA". Rfam says of the family: Transfer RNA (tRNA) molecules are approximately 80 nucleotides in length. Their secondary structure includes four short double-helical elements and three loops (D, anti-codon, and T loops). RNAcentral also lists the same sequence under 4 other names. Lineage: Archaea; Thermoproteati; Thermoproteota. The record is from RNAcentral.